Molecule: long non-coding RNA, 2000 nt
Filed under: Rattus norvegicus (Norway rat)
Lineage: Eukaryota; Metazoa; Chordata; Mammalia; Rodentia; Muridae
Description: long non-coding RNA NONRATT011026
Source: RNAcentral
AACACCUUUUCUGCUUUUAUUUUCAGUUUCUAGAUUUUGUUUUUUUCUGAGUCUUACUUUCUCACUGAAACUUUUGUUUCCUCAUGAUAAGGUACCCUGUUGUCACCUCCCCUUCCCCUCCUCCCCCUCCAGAGCACAGCUCACUGGCCGCUUCAAGCCUUGUGCUGGCUUACUUUGUUUGUAGGGGCUAUUAUAAAAGCUAAUUCUUCAAAAUUAAAAAUUUAAAUUAGGAAGUGUUGUAUUCCAGCCCAACAAAAUGCAUGUCUAUAACCCCAGCCUCUAGGAGGCAAGGCUAACUGGGGCCCAAGGAUUGCCAGGAAUUGACAGCCAGCCCGAGCUACAUAACAAGAUGGAAAGAAAACACUGUUGAUAUUUUAAUCUGAUACAUUGUUUGGAGGAGUAUUUAUAUGAACAUGUAUCUGUGAUUAGUAGUUAUUUUAUUGUCUAUGAUACAGAAUAUCUAAGCCCCAUGUUUACUUAAUGAGCCGGCUCUUACUUUCUUAUCUCGGCAGACAACCCUGUUGUUAAGUGAUUUUUCUGACAGUCAAGCUCAAGAUUCUCUGUCUGAAUAGUUGGAAAAUAUUCUUCUAAGCGUGUGAAAUUGCUAUCUUGGGGGGAAAUAACCACAUGUUAGCAACUUAUGAGAACACUUAAGUUACAUAAGCUCUUCACCAAGUCUGUGUUUGAUUUUCAAGCUUUUAUAAGCUGACAUACUGUCACAGUGUCAAAGGAACAGUCAAUAAAUACCAUUUAGAGGUGAUAAUCUCCCAGGGUGAUGUGCACUCCAUUUCUGCUAACUACAGAGUUUUAUCCUCAAAAAACAAAAAACAAAAACAAAAACAAAAACAAAAAACCAUGUUAUACAGUCAACACAUUUUCUAUAAGUUCUCAUCUAAGAUUUUCUUUAUACUUACAGUUUUGGUUAUGGGAAAGGUAUAGAAAUAUAAACACACAGAUAAGAAUAUGAAACUCCUAACCAGGAAAUUCCCGGCUUUAUGGUCCAAAUAGGUAUAAAACUAGGUUGUUUCAAACUCAGACUAAUUUGUCCCAUAUUGCUGUAAGUAACUAAGAUUGUUCCUAGAAAUCACUACUCAGCACCCAUUAUACUCUUGGCGUUGCUCUGGGUGUCUUAGUUUUUGAUGGAUUCUUGUGUUAGACAAAGGUACUUCAAUUUCAGUAGAGACUUGGUACACUUCUUCCUCAGUGAUGCCCUAAGUGAGCCCUAAUUUAUCUGAUAUGAUCCCCAAAUGCUCACCCUGAAACCUUUCUAGUUUUCUACUCAUCCCAGCCGCUUCAAGCAAUAGGAAGAAGCAAAUUCAGAAAAUUCAUAUUAAAUUGUCAUUGACUAUAGUCUUAUUGUCUUGCUGAAAGAGAACCAAUCAUAUAAACAUUGACAGCUCCGCUCAGUGACAGGAAAUUUACAGGUGAAUACUGUCCACGCUUGCUCAAAAAAACACUUUCCCUGUUUUCUGUUGACAAUUUUUCAAGGAAUUUGGAGGUAGGAAAACCACUCCUUUUUCAUUAUUCUGAAACUUAUUUUUAAAUAACUGGUACUUGGCAAUUUAGUUUUUAAAACACCAUUCUGAAUUAAAUUGCUGAGGUGACUAAAUUCUAAAACUAACCUCGUUUUAUCAUACAGACAUCUAGUUAGAAAGUGUUUGUGGUGAAGACUUGUAUCUUGUGGCAUUAGUUCUUCAUGUUUCUUCUCCAUACGUCGGCUAAAGCAGUUCAUUUCCAGCUGAGUGGAAAGUUGCUGUGGUUGGUCUGUGUGGGCAAGCACACCCAGUUACAGCACGAGCAGUAACUUCAUGGUAGCUGGCUGUGCUUUGCACUCUGCUGUUGUAGAUUUAUUCUGUUUACAGUAGACUGAUGUCAGUUUUGUAAAUGUUUUUCUUAGCACUUUAACUGUGAGUGUAAAAACUGAUUUUAAAUGUAGUGGUUGUAUAUUUUGGUUAUAAAUUGGAAAUUUUUAAUAAAACUAAAUAACUUGUUCCCUUGUC